This 253-nucleotide ribosomal RNA is filed under the name uncultured bacterium. Its description in RNAcentral is "partial 16S ribosomal RNA". It matches the Rfam family "Bacterial small subunit ribosomal RNA", at positions 524 to 776 of the family's 1533-position model. The record is from RNAcentral.
UACGUAGGGUGCAAGCGUUGCUCGGAAUCAUUGGGCGUAAAGAGCUCGUAGGCGGUCUGUCGCGUCGGCUGUGAAAACCCGGAGCUCAACUCCGGGCCUGCAGUCGAUACGGGCAAACUGGAGUGUUGCAGGGGAGACUGGAAUUCCUGGUGUAGCGGUGAAAUGCGCAGAUAUCAGGAGGAACACCGGUGGCGAAGGCGGGUCUCUGGGCAACAACUGACGCUGAGGAGCGAAAGCGUGGGGAGCGAACAGG